This 23-nucleotide non-coding RNA is filed under the name Arabidopsis thaliana (thale cress). The record is from RNAcentral. Lineage: Eukaryota; Viridiplantae; Streptophyta; Magnoliopsida; Brassicales; Brassicaceae.
UUGGUAAAAAUACAAACAUAGCA